RNAcentral lists this long non-coding RNA (530 nucleotides) under Anas platyrhynchos platyrhynchos (common mallard). Its description in RNAcentral is "lncRNA (ENSAPLG00000025368.1)". The record is from RNAcentral. Lineage: Eukaryota; Metazoa; Chordata; Aves; Anseriformes; Anatidae.
CUCCGCAACUCCUGCCGCUUCUCUAACACGUCCUCCUCUUGACAGGCACAAAAAGGGACUCCGCGGGUGUGGAAAAGAGGGGCGGCCAACCACCCAGCAUCUUGUACUCGGGUCUCUCAUGGCACAAGAAAGGAUUGCAGAGUCAUGGAGACCAGGAGCUCCACUACAACCAGGCUAUCUCCAACCUCCCGUGCUCUUCCUGUCAGCUCCACCUUCCACACCGUCAUGGGCAACGGGUCAGCUCUGCACCACGUGGCACCUCUCACGGUCUGCAGAGGGACCUACAACUUCCCCAGAGCUGCGCACACCCAGAGCUCGGCACCACACACCUGCGCUCGAAGCUCUCAUGCCCUCCAACACCAUGGCGACGUGCCAAGAGACAUGGAGAAAGGCAGCUCAGAAAUACACCACAUCUUUCUAACCUCUCGUGCCACUUAAGGUACACACAACUUCCCCGUAAGCUUGCAGAAAGGCAGCCCCGCACCUCUUGCCUCCUCUCUAACCCAUCUUGCCCUACCUUGCAGAUGGAA